Molecule: ribosomal RNA, 729 nt
Filed under: uncultured eukaryote
Lineage: Eukaryota
Description: SSU rRNA
Rfam family: Eukaryotic small subunit ribosomal RNA
Source: RNAcentral
AGUGCGUACUAGGUUCUUCGGCUUUUCGUCGGUUUUCUUGUUGUGGCCUUUAUUGGUGGCGGCAAGUGGCUGACAAUUUUACUUUGAACAAAUCAGAGUGCUCAAAACAGGCGUUUCGCUUGUAUGUUUUUGCAUGGAAUAAUAGAAUAUGACUUCGGUCUAGUUUUAUUGGUUUUAUUGAUCGUUGUAAUGAUUAAAAGAGACAAACGGGGGCAUUCGUAUUGUUGCGUGAGAGGUGAAAUUCUUGGACCGCAGCAAGACGACCUACAGCGAAAGCAUUUGCCAAGCUUGUCUUCAUUAAUCAAGAACGAAAGUCAGAGGAUCGAAGGUGAUCAGAUACCGCCCUAGUUCUGACCGUAAACGAUGCCAACUAGCGAUUCGCCGGUGGAAUAUUUGCCCUGGCGAGGAGCUUCCCGGAAACGAAAGUCUUCCGGUUCCGGGGGAAGUAUGGUUGCAAAGCUGAAACUUAAAGGAAUUGACGGAAGGGCACCACCAGGAGUGGAGCCUGCGGCUUAAUUUGACUCAACACGGGAAAACUCACCCGGCCCGGACACUAUAAGGAUUGACAGAUUGAUAGCUCUUUCAUGAUUUGGUGGAUGGUGGUGCAUGGCCGUUCUUAGUUCGUGGAGUGAUUUGUCUGGCUUAUUCCGAUAACGAGCGAGACUCUAGCCUACUAAAUAGUUCGCUCAUUGUUUAUUGUGUAGCGGUACUUCCUAGAGGAAUUUUCGG